RNAcentral lists this ribosomal RNA (501 nucleotides) under uncultured Deferribacteres bacterium. RNAcentral's name for it is "bacterial SSU rRNA". It matches the Rfam family "Bacterial small subunit ribosomal RNA", at positions 8 to 530 of the family's 1533-position model. Lineage: Bacteria; Pseudomonadati; Deferribacterota; Deferribacteres. The record is from RNAcentral.
AGAGUUUGAUUCUGGCUCAGGACAAACGCUGGCGGCGUGCGUAACACAUGCAAGUUGAACGCGAAUAUAUGAGAAGUGGUAACACGGAUUGUAUGUUUGAGUAGCGGACGGGUGAGUACAACAUGAGAACCUAUCCUUCAAAGGGGGACAACGUUUGGAAACGGACGCUAAUACCCCAUAAGCCGAGAGGUUAAAGCAGCGAUGCGAUGGAGGAGGGGCUCGUGUCCUAUCAGCUAGUUGGUGGGGUAAUGGCCUACCAAGGCGACGACGGGUAGCCGGCCUGAGAGGGUGUACGGCCACACUGGAACUGAGAUACGGUCCAGACUCCUACGGGAGGCAGCAGUGGGGAAUAUUGGGCAAUGGGAGAAAUCCUGACCCAGCGACGCCGCGUGAACGAAGACGGCCUUCGGGUUGUAAAGUUCUUUUAUGUGGGAAGAAAAGAAUGACGGUACCACAUGAAUAAGCCCCGGCUAACUACGUGCCAGCAGCCGCGGAAUGNAS